CAAGGUCUUGCUGUGUUUCCCAGACUGGUCUCUUGAACUCCUGGGCUCAAGUGAUCCUCCCAAUUCUGGCUCCCAAUGUUCUGGAAUUACAGAUAAAUUGAGAAGACAAUUCCUAAGCCCGUUGUUGCCAUCACACCCUCUUAACCCACCAUGGAAACCUCACUAGGACACCCUGAGAAGCAUCACACACAGGAGAUGCUACGGGAGAGGAAGAGGGUGCCUUUUGACUUAUGAAAAAGCUGUGCCUCUAAGAAAACAAGAAGUCCAGAUUGGAGUCCAGAAAAAAGGAAAAGCAGCAAGUAAUAGUCUGUUACCCUACAUUCUCCUAGGUGCCAGGCUCAAAGGAUAAAAUUAAGGUCACUUGAAGAUUUUCUUCUAGGCUGGCCUGCCUGAUUCACUUGAACAGGAAAAUAGCCAAAAAUUUGGGGUCUAGAUCUAGAGUAAAUAUUGUUCAUUUUUCAAGAAAAUUCUACCAAAGAAUUAUGCCUCCCUAUAUCCGUUCACGCCUUUACAAAUAUUUACUGAAUGUCUACAAAUUAAGCAAGCACUGUCCUAGCCACUGGGGAUACAGAAGUGGGCAAGACAUACAACAGCCUUGUCUUCGUGGAGCUUACAUUCUCUCCUAAGGAGACUGGCAGUCACCUAAAUCAGUAAAAUUUAUAAUGUGUCAGAUGAGAUAAGUGCCAUGGAGAAAAAUAAUGCAGAGAAAGAAGAUGGGACAUGCCUGGCAGAGAUGAUCAUCUGCAAUAAGUUGGUUAUGGAAAGCCUCACUGAGCAGGUAAUAUUUUGCUAAGACUUGAAGAAGAGGAAGGAAUAAGUCAUGGGACUAUCUGGGAAAUGACCAUGGGAAUGAUCAAACAGGGAAUGAUCCAUGAGGGCAUUUGAGACAAACUUUGCAGGAAAGGGAAACACCAGUGUCAAACUCCUGAGGACAUAAACUAUUUAGGGUUUUAGAGGAACAAGAUGUGAGUCAAUUGGUGGAACCCAGUGAGUGAAGGAUUAAAUAAUAGAAGAAAGCUAGAGAGCUAGUUUGAGGGUCUUAGAGACUAGGGGCAGAGGGUAGCUUUUACUCUGAAUGAGAUGGGAAACCCCUGAAGUUUUCAGCAGAAGAGUGGUAAGAUCUGACUUCGGUUUUAAAGAGUGUAUGUCAUAUAUGCACAUGCUACAGAGCAUAUUUUAGACAAUAUUAUAUAAAAAGUUACUUUUUAAAAAAAAAAAUCAAACAUUUAUAUUAGAGGAUCACUAUUUAAAUUUUUGCAACAUAGGGAUAUAAUUAUACAUCUAGAUUAUGGGAAAUUGCAAGUACAAACAUCCAGGUUUGUUUAACAACAGCAAUGACAAGUAGGAAAUCUCCAUAUUCACUUUAAAAAUGUAAGAGACAACUGGGGAUAUCGAACACUUUAUAUUUGUGAUAUUAAAGAAUUAUUGUUAGUGCGGUUUUUAGCAUAAUAACAACACUACUUUAAAAGCCCUUCUCCUUUAGAGGUAAAUACAGCUCAGCACAUCAUAGUGAAGAGAGCAUUGGGAUGCGAGAUCAAAGCAGGCAUGUCAGGCUGCUUUUUGACUUUGUGGCCCUGAGCUAGUGACAUAAGGACCAUGGAGUUCAGUUUCCUCCUCUAAAAUAUAAAGAAGUCAGACCAGAUGAUCACUAAGGUUUCUUCCAAAUCUAAGACAUAAUCUUUGUGAUGGUUGAUUUGCAUUAAUUUUUAUUUCAGCGACUGCCCUAAAGCAAACAUAUGCUACUAAAGGACGAAAAAAAAACAUAGUACCAAGCCAGAAUCCUGAGAGAGCCAAUAAGCUGCCUGAGAAUUAGAUAAUACCAUUACUUCAAUUCCAGAUUCCUCUCGUAACAAUCUACAUAAAAAGACAUAGAAAAUCAUUCUCUUUAUCAAGGGUCUGCAAACUUUAGUAAAGAGCUGGAUAGAAAAUAUUUUCAGCUUUGUUGGAUAUAAGAUCUCUGUUUCAACUCCUCAACUCUGCUGUUGUUAUGCAAAAACAGCCAUAUGGAAUAUAUAAAUAAACGGCGGUAGCUUGGCUGUGUUUGAAAAAACUUUAUUUAUAAAGUAGGCAACAGGCAGCAUUUGGCCCAUAGGCUACAGUUUGCUGAUCCCAGCUCUUUAGCAUGUUCAGAUAUUAAUAUGAGGAUCUUUAUACAAUCAGAUAAUGCAGAGAUAUUAAGUCAUAUUCUUCUGUUUUACAUAUUCUUAAUUUGCAUAUUCCUGUAGCCUAUUGGUGACAGUGACUAAUAAUGAGAUCUAAUGCUGUUUAUUAAGUCCAGUCUCUUUUCUUCAUCUCCGCUGCUUCCUACUAGCGUCUCUUACUUGGAUUAUUGCAAAAUGCCUUAGGUUUUCACUCUGUUACAGAGAUCCUCUCAACAAGGAAAUCAUAGCUUGUCAAUGCCCUGCUUAAAAGCUUGCAUGGCUUCUAAAAUUCCUCACCAAGACCUCCCCAAGUCACUUGCCCUCUCAUUCUCAAGGCUCCAAGCAUUCUUCCUGUGUCUGCACACACUGAGCUCGUUCCCAUCUCAGUGUGUCUGCCUUUACCAUAACCUCUGCCUGGAAUGCUUAUUUUACAGAUCAUCAUGUGGCUCAACUUUUAAGUCUCAAUUCAAAUAUCACCCUCUCAAAUAAGCCUUCACUGACCACCAUACCCUUGCCCUCAUUAUUCCACAACUAGUGCCCUUUUAUUUCUUCCUAAACGUAUCACCAUUUCGAAUGACAUUACCUACUUAUUUGCUUGCACAUUUAUUGUCUGUUAAUCCAUUAUAUUAUGAAUUCUUUCAGGGCCAAGAUUUUAUCUCAUCCAUUCCUCUAACCCCAGCACCUAGAACAGUGCUUGGCAUUUAAUAGAUAUCCAAUAAGUAUCUGUUGAAUAAAUUACUCUCCAAUAUUUUAUAUGUGUAAAAGCCCAUAUUUUUUCUUAAAAUGAAAUUAUGCUGUAUACUAAUAUCAGUCAGUGCAAAGUAUUGUAACAAAUGGUCCCAGAAGGUAUAAUGGUCCUGACAUAGUAAAAGUGUAUUUCUUGCUCAAAUGACAAUAUUGGGCAGAUGGACAGGUUGGCAGCCUUCUCUGCCCAGUUAUUCCUAGGUUGACAGCAGCUCUGCCGUCUUCAAUAGGUGGCUUUCCUGGCUGUCCUAAGGCAUCUGUAGUCUAACCAGCCUGAAGUGUAAAAAAGCAUUAAAAGUCCAGUAAGAUAUUUCGAGGACCAAAUGUGGAAGUGGCACAUUUCAUCUCUGCUCAUAUUUCACUGGCUAGAACAUUGUUACAUCCAGAUGCAAGGAAUACUGGGAAGUGUAGUCAUUGCCUGGGCCAGCCCUUCUCAGUCACAACUACUGUAUUGGAGUGGAAGCCCUGAUCAUGAACAGAGAGCUGAUCAUCUCUGCCAGAGCACCCAUUAACUACAACACCUCCACAUUCACCUGCCAGCCGCCAUUAAAUGUGAAAACUAUAGAGCUCGUGUUACAGAAUUAGUACAUCCAAACAAUUUUCACAAGGUCUAUAACAAUUCAAACUUAGUGAAAUAAAGUGGAAAAUAAUAUAAAUCCUUGUCCUCACUACUAAUGCUUGUAUUUUGACCUUUUCUAUUUCUGGAUCCAGGACCUUUCUAAGUCAUAUAAAUCAUGCCCCACCUGACUUUGCCUGUAAGUCCCUUCAUGCCAUAUCCCAGGGAUCAUGUGUCUUGUUUCUCUGAUUAGCUACAAAGUCAUUCAUGGGAUGUUCUAGGCUCAUUCUUCAUCCCAUAUCCCUGAUGGGCUUUUAUCAAACUUCCUCAAGAUCUAAUCUGAAAAAAAUCAUAGUUUACAGUAAAAACCAAUCUGUACUUAAAAUAUUCACAAAAUAACUAUUAUAUAUGUAUAUAAAUUACCAAAAUAUUAAAACACUUAUCCUUUCUCAGUGAUAGGAACAUGUAUAAUUUUGUACUAUUCUUUUAUCAUCUGUAUUUUUAAAAAUAUUCUAAUAUAUUUCCUAAGAAUAAAUAAAAUGCAAGUCCAUCGAUUUGCAAUCAACUUAAGGCCCUGGUGUGGCCUCUGUCUACUUUCCCUCACCCAAUUCCCAUACUUCAUUUGAGGUUCUGCUGCUUUUGCUAUACUUUUAAGGAAACUUUGCUUAAAAAGGAAAGGGAGGAAAGUAGCUUCUGAAAUUCUGCAUAUUGUACCUUUGCCUUUAAUCAUGUAACAUGCUUGCCUGGUAAAGGACUUUACUAUAAAGACAGAUUUUUAUAGCUGCAAAAACCCAACAUAAAAUGGGACAUUGAACAAGACCUUAGCUUGUCCAUUAUAUCACUAAUAGGAUUUUACCUAUACACGAACAAUCCAGGAACCACGUUUUAAGUAGCAGCUUCAACCACUCUAAUUUUCUCAAGACUGGUAACAAGAACAAGCACAAUGAGUGAGACGUGCAACGUUUGGGAGAUUGUCAUGCUUGAGGCUCU
Molecule: non-coding RNA, 4431 nt
Organism: Microcebus murinus (gray mouse lemur)
Lineage: Eukaryota; Metazoa; Chordata; Mammalia; Primates; Cheirogaleidae
Source: RefSeq, a predicted model, not a curated record